RNAcentral lists this long non-coding RNA (1515 nucleotides) under Vigna radiata. RNAcentral describes it as "long non-coding RNA (VRAD_LNC017400)". The record is from RNAcentral. Lineage: Eukaryota; Viridiplantae; Streptophyta; Magnoliopsida; Fabales; Fabaceae.
ACCUUUUGUGAAAAAUCUUUACCUUGAGUGGAGUUGAGAAUAAUUGAAUGGUAUUGAUAAAGGUUCAACUUUGGGGUUAUUGGGAGAAUUGAAAGGCAAAAGGAAAGUAGGGAGUUAAUGUGUUGAAUGAAAAAGCAUGAGAAAAGAUAGAAAAGAAAAGAAAAGAACAACAUGAAAGAUAAGCUCAAUGCAAAAGUUAAAGAAAAAGGGAAAAGUUAGGAAUAAGUGAGAUUGGUUGCAAGAGAGUUGGUGCUUGAACUAUGAAUGUUGAAUAACUCUCUUAACUCAAGGAUUUUGUUAUCUAGAAAAACCAAUUUUUCUUAUUAGCCCAACCUCAUUAUAAGCCUUGAAAAGUCCUUGUGUUGGCCUUUGUGUGUAAGAAUGUUGAUUGUAAUAGAUGAAGGGCAAUCUUGUUUCAUGUGACAUGUGGAUAGUAGAGGGAAGGAGUGACCUCCUGAAACACUUGAGUGAUUGAGUGAAACACUUUUCCUGGAAAGGAUGUCUGAAAUUCAUGAUUACAUCUAUGCUUAGUUAAAUGAUCAUUCAUAAGAAUAACAUUUGUUGGAAAGUAUGUGAUUAUGUGAGCACUAUGAAGUUGGAAUAAAUUGAAGCAUGUGUGCAUCUUGAUGAGAUUCCAUUGAAAAGUUGAAUUGAGUAAUUACUUGUUGUGGAAGAAUGAGUGAUGGGUUGUCGCAACCCACACAAAUUUGAUGUGCAUUAAAAAUGCAGUAUAGUGCUAGGAAGUGACUCCUAGGUCGUCUCUCAAGGACCAAACUGUGGUACGAGAAUCAGGUCAAACUCGAAGGGGGGGGGGUUGUGAAAGGUUUGUGACUGCAGAUGAAUUAAAUCAAAACGCGGAUGCAAACAAAAAUGUAUAACUGAAAUGCAGACAGAAACAUAAAAACGGAAUCAAAUACAGAAUAAAAAUGGUCGGUCAUUAACUCAAUCACUAUGCUUCCAAUCACAGAUUAACGACAACUAUUCACUCCUCUAAUCCAAAUCCGACACGAACCACCCAACUAAGCGAAGGCUAAUUCGGUCUUCAAACUUACAGACUAAGCGAAUGCAAUGCACAAAUUUAAUCAGUCAUCCACCAUGCAGUCUAAUCAACUAAGCAAAGAAUUGACAUCGAUUAGGCAACUAAGCGUAUACCUAAUCGCAGGCAGACAACAGAUUAAAUAUUGAGCAAAAUCAAAGCAGCAGUAUGGCAAUUAAAGUUCAAAAGUCUCAUGGAAACAAAGUAAUUUUAUUGAUGACCAAUCCGACUAACCUAAGCUAACAUCAGAAUUAAAUUAUCACCACCGAACACACUAGACAUCAUUAAAGUAAAUGAAAAUGUUAAUCCUAACACCCUAAACCCUAAACCCUAAACCCUAAACCCUAAACCCUAAACCCUAAAAGUGCAUCCUUUAGUAAGUGGCGGCUGGUUGCCCUUUACAAAGGCCAAGUGUCUUCCAAAAAUAGGGUGGGGUCCACCCUAAAAGAAAAAGAAACCCUAGGCCAUGUGUCCUCUAC